GUCUACAGCCUUAUGGCCCUGAAUGCACCCAAUCUCGUCUGAUCUUGGAAGCUAAGCAGGGUCGGGCCUGGUUAGUACUUGGAUGGGAAAAUUCCUGCUUUAGGACCAGUGAGGCAGGCAAGGGCAGGGACU
RNAcentral lists this ribosomal RNA (132 nucleotides) under Octodon degus (degu). Lineage: Eukaryota; Metazoa; Chordata; Mammalia; Rodentia; Octodontidae. The record is from RNAcentral.